AAGAGAUACACAGUCCUCUUUUCCCGGCGUUGCAUCCACUUGCCUUCUUCGCCGUGACAACAUCAAAUUAAAGAAAAAGGCUGCGCAGCCUGCGCGGCUGCCGCUCUUGCACUGGCAGCUCUUUGCACUCUGUGUUUCCUUACUGCGGCGAGCUCCUCUCAGAUUCUCUCGGCUCCCCUCUCAGAAUUUUCGCGCGUCGUCUUCGCGUGUUCAAGCAACUUUCACCGGCUCACUGUUUGCUUCACGGCUCUUAUCGCACACACACACAUACAGACAUCCGCGUAGGCGACAGCAGAAAAUGGUGCAGCCGUUUCUCUGGAUUGCAGUCGUCGGCGCCUUUGUGUCGUUCCUGACCGGCGCCGGGGUAGGCAUGAAUGACCUUAGCAACGCCUUUGGAACGACCUACGGGGCGAAGGUGCUCACACUUUCUCAAAUCGUCCUUCUUGCAUCUGUUUGCGAAUUCGUAGGUGCAGUCAGCCUGGGCGGUGCAGUGACGGCGACUAUAUCAGGAGGUAUCGCCAAGCCCGCCGACUUCGAAGAUCACCCUUACAUGUUCAUGUACGGUAUGCUGUGCGCCUGCGGUGCCGCCUUCUGCUGGCUCGCCAUCGCAACAUGGCUGACGCUUCCGGUAUCCUCCACGCACAGCAUCUGCGGAGGCGUCAUAGGCUUUGCUCUGGUGUACGGCGGUGCUGACUCGGUGAGCUGGGCUGACAACCAGGACGAGUUCCCGUUUGUGAACGGAGUAGCGCCGAUCGUCGCCUCAUGGUUCAUUUCGCCGCUCCUCACCGGUGUCGUGGCAGCCGCCAUCUUCGGCUCUGUUCGGUGGUUUGUGCUUCGACAUGCAAACUCGGUGCAGCGAGCCAUCCUGACGCUUCCGAUUGUUGUCACCAUCACGUUUUUCCUGGAGGCCUUCUUUGUCCUCUUCAAGGGUGCCCAGAGUCGCCUGCACUGGGAUAUGUACCACGCAGCGUGGGUGGCCAUGUGGAUUGCCGCUGGCGCUGGUGUGCUUUCGUGUGGCUUUGUCCCGCUGUUGAAGCGGCGUGUAAAGAAGAUGGAGCAGCGGGCGACGGUGCUCGCACACCGGCAUGGCCACGCGCUAGGCGGUGUCGACGACGAGAUGGCGCAUCGUGGAUGUUUUGAUGAGCUGCCAGUCGAUCCCCACUCCACAGAAUGGCGCGAGGCUGGCGAGCCUGCGCGCGCCGCUCCAGCGCCGUCGGCACUGCCACUCUCACCACCGUCUUCAACCUACGCCUCGGCACAGAGCCGCCGCGCCGACGGCAGCUGCGACAAGGUGGAGGGAUCCCCUGGCACGGUGGUGCGCGAAGACGACGGUGCAGAGAACAGUGCCGUUAUUUCGCUAGGAGAGCUACAGGUCGUGACUGCGAGUGGAAUGGAGGUGCAGCUGUACAACACGCACGCCGAAAUGGUGUACCGCUACCUACAGGUUCUCACUGCCAUCUGCGCGUCUUUCGCACAUGGUGCGAGUGACGUCAGCAACGCCGUCGGUCCGCUCGCCGCCAUCAACUCCGUGUACCAGACAGGAGCGGUGCAGACAACAACGUCGAUUCCCACAUGGAUUCUGUGCCUGGGCGGCGCUGGUCUUGUUUUUGGAUUGGCCACCUUUGGCGCUCGCCUCAUGCGCCUCCUUGGCGAGCAGAUCACUGUCAUCACACCCAGCCGAGGCUUCUCGGCGGAACUGUCCGCAGCCUUGGUGGUGUCUUUUGCUUCUGGCUAUGGAAUCCCUGUGUCAUCCACGCACUGCAUCACGGGAGCUGUUGUCGGAAUCAGUAUGCUAGACGUUGGGCUUCUGAACGUUCGCUGGUGGAUGGUGCUCAAGAUGUACGGAGGAUGGGCCUGCACUCUUGUCUUGACCGCGGUUGUGUCUGCCGUCUUCUUUGCUCAAGGUAUCAAUGCCCCUUCUCGAUGACACGCCGGUUUCUCUCGCAGGAUCAGAGGAGCCAGCGCGGCUGCAAACGCACACACGCACAGCCCCAAAGCGGUUCUUGCCUUGCGUGUGCAGGCCUGUUGGCUCCGCUUCUCCUGCGCUAUUUUCAGUUCUGCAUCGGCGAAUGGCCACACCUUUGCCACGGUACACCCCGACGUCUCUUUCCUCGAUUGUUUUGCUUCCGUUCAUCAAGUGUGUACCCGGAUGACGGUGGGGACAGCCAGUGCGUGGCAUCACAGGGCUGCGUUUAUUUUCAGUCUGUGGGGAAGCAAAGCAGCCCUGCUAUCCCCCCCCCUACCGAUGCGGAGCCACCUCUGAUGGUGACAGGGCCAAGCACCUACGGCGUAGGGGGAGGCCGGAGCUAUGCACCGCUGCUGAUGCCGGCGGUGAUGUGGAGGAUGGCGUUGCUCCGGAGCGACCUGCGACCGUGGACACGUGUGUGCCGCCGAUACGAUGGGCGAAGUGUCAGCGCGACUGCAGCGCAUCUCACCCGGCCCUGACUGUGCUGGUGGUGAGGGGAGCCUGAGCGCCCGCCCACGGCUGCACCGCGUGCUGGUUGGGACAAUGCGAGCGUCUGCGAGGCGACCUGCGGGGCGGAUGUGGGUGGGUCGAGCUUGAGGCGGAUGCCGUGCUCAGAUGACUGAGUGGGCGCGUUGCCGUGGCGUGUGUGUGUGUGUGCGGCUGCUUGGCACCACGCGAUGGGGCCCUGUGAGAAUGGCGGGCGGUGCAGCGGACCUGAGCUCAUUCCCUAUAGCGGAAUGGUGGUGCUGCCAGAAAAGUAAGGCGUUUGUGUUUACUGGUAUCUACACCCGUGCUGCACCUUAUCACUACUGUUUGUCUCUGUUGCGUCUGUCUGUUCUGUGUUAUUACAUCUGUGCUGGUCACCUUGGUUGCGCUGUGGUGUGCGUGUAUGUGUGUGUAGGGGCGGAGGGGGAAGGGUGACAGAGAUGACUUGCUCCGCCUGAGAAGGCGGGCUCGAAGGACAGUAUUCGGUGGUUUAUGCCCGUUCACCCUUUUGCAUCCCGCUGUAAUGCCUCCCUCUCUCUCGUAGCCACUUUUUGCCUAUUCCCCCUUCGUUUUUCUUUCAUGUGUUCGUUUCUUUCUCUGUAGAUGUGAUGCACUGACUUUUCUGUUUUGUUGCCCGUUGCGUCUGCCCAUAGUCGUAUCGCUCCGUCGAGUAUAAUCUUUUGUCUUCUCCGCGAACACGCUGACGCCCUCACCGGAUAUGCCGUUCUUUCCUCUGUCGCUGAGAUACAAGCUCGAAAGACGUUUAUCCGACAAGGACAGUUGAUGGGGAGAUGGCUUGGCUGUGUUGUGCUCACACCUUACUCGUCUUCGUUGCCAACGGGAGCUGCUGCUUCUCUCUGCUUUAUCAGCCCCUUAUUUCUCGCGCCUUCGAUUUUGUUUUUUCUUUUCUCGAGCCAUCUAACUUUUGGCCAUGAGCUGAACGCUGGUAUAUUGUGCAGCUCUACCUGCCCUGUGACUGGAACGGCGUGGGAGUCUACGGCACACACAUUGGGAGGUAUCACAAGCACCUCAGAAGCGUAUUUGCGUGCCCACACACGACGACAUGGCACUAGUCUCCCUUUCGCGAUUGCCCCGCCUUCUCAAACGUCUGAGUAUCGCGAUCCCACUAACGUUGCCAGCGUUUUUUUUUUUGCAGGGGAUGCUGUGCCCCGUAUGACCCGCACAUUGGUUGCGCGGAGAUCCAAUGACACGCACCGGCGCGCUCCUCUGCUGUUUUCAUGUCUUUGCAGAAUCCUUUGAACGCGAUCGCCUCUGUGUGCACCGAACGGUGAUCCUCUCCACAUUUGCUCCCUCGCGCUCCCCCAUCGCUCUGUGUCCUUUUCUUUCACGUGCCCUUCGAACCUUCCCACGCUACAAUGCAAG
Molecule: unclassified non-coding RNA, 3835 nt
Filed under: Leishmania donovani
Lineage: Eukaryota; Euglenozoa; Kinetoplastea; Trypanosomatida; Trypanosomatidae
Description: gene:LdHU3.20.0050(CDS-product:phosphate-Repressi ble_Phosphate_Permease-like_protein)
Source: RNAcentral